GCAUAUCCGUUGGGGUGCCCGUGUGCAGGGCUGAGAGGUGUAAAGCCAACCCAUCGAACCUGAUCCGGGUGAUGCCGGCGUAGGGAACGGACCUUAGCACGCC
Roseovarius mucosus DSM 17069 is the source of this 103-nucleotide non-coding RNA. The record is from Rfam. Lineage: Bacteria; Pseudomonadati; Pseudomonadota; Alphaproteobacteria; Rhodobacterales; Roseobacteraceae.